This 394-nucleotide ribosomal RNA is filed under the name uncultured bacterium. Its description in RNAcentral is "bacterial SSU rRNA". It matches the Rfam family "Bacterial small subunit ribosomal RNA", at positions 28 to 414 of the family's 1533-position model. The record is from RNAcentral.
GACGAACGCUGGCGGCGUGCCUAACACAUGAAAGUGGAGCGACGAACCAGGCUUCGGCCUGGGGCAAAGCCGCGAACGGGUGAGUAACACGUGGGUAACCUGCCCUGAUGAUUGGGACAACCCGAGGAAACUCGGGCUAAUACCAAAUGUGCCCUUCGGCCACAAGGCCGCUGGGGAAAGGAAGCUUCGGCCUCCGCAUCUGGAUGGGCCCGCGGCCCAUUAGCUUGUUGGUGAGGUAACGGCUCACCAAGGCGACGAUGGGUAGCUGGUCUGAGAGGACGAUCAGCCACACUGGGACUGAGACACGGCCCAGACUCCUACGGGAGGCAGCAGUGGGGAAGUCUUGCGCAAUGCGCGAAAGCGUGACGCAGCAACGCCGCGUGGGGGAAGACGG